RNAcentral lists this ribosomal RNA (270 nucleotides) under uncultured archaeon. RNAcentral's name for it is "partial 16S ribosomal RNA". It matches the Rfam family "Archaeal small subunit ribosomal RNA", at positions 477 to 747 of the family's 1478-position model. The record is from RNAcentral.
CAGCACCUCAAGUGGUCAGGAUGAUUAUUGGGCCUAAAGCAUCCGUAGCCGGCCGAGUAAGUCCCCCGUUAAAUCCAGCGUCUCAAGCGUUGGACUGCGGGAGAUACUACUUGGCUAGAGAGUGGGAGAGGUCAGCGGUAUUCUGGGGGUAGGGGCGAAAUCCUUUGAUCCCCGGAGGACCACCAGUGGCGAAGGCUGCUGACUAGAACACGUCUGACGGUCAGGGACGAAAGCUGGGGUAGCGAACCGGAUUAGAUACCCGAGUAGUCC